Molecule: long non-coding RNA, 699 nt
Filed under: Salvia miltiorrhiza (redroot sage)
Lineage: Eukaryota; Viridiplantae; Streptophyta; Magnoliopsida; Lamiales; Lamiaceae
Description: long non-coding RNA (SMIL_LNC008669)
Source: RNAcentral
GAUUAUUUGAAAUUAUACUAAUUGGAUAUUACUCAAAAUUAAAUGAAUUUAAAAUUAUAUAAGAUAAAUUUAGUUAUAGAGAAAAGAUUAGGAUUCGUAAUCGUGAUUAAUUUUACGUGGUAUUCUCCCGAAAUCAAAAUAUAGCCAGAGUCUUUCUAAUCAAAAAACAUAUCAUGAGAGUAAAAUCAAACGUCACCUAUAUUUAUGAUUAUCUUUCAAUGUGAGAUGUCCCACAGACAAUUCUAACUUUUUUUAAUAAUAAAAUAUAAUUACAUAUCCUAAUUAAAUAGAAUAAUUAAUAAUCACACAAUUAAAUUAAAAUAUACAAAAUUAAUAUUGAAGUAAAAAAUAAAAUAAAAUAAAAAAAUGGACUAGGGAUUCGAAGCGGAUAAAAGAAAAUUAAUACACUGGAUUUCAAGUGUAUUUAUAGGGUCAACAAGGUUGAUUAUUUUUAUAAUUAUUUCACGGUUUUUUCUUAUGCUUAAAUAUAAACAAACCUCUAAAAAAAGUAUAACCAAAAUUGCACCGAUAAAAAUAAGAGAGAAAAAACGAAAAAUAAAAAAGAGAUUACGCAUGUAAUUGGGCUUGGAUGUGAAACUCUUAUUGGGCUUUAUACUGCAAAACAAAUUCGGUCAAUUAUUCAUAUUCUUUAAUUACUAUGAUAUGCGUAAAUAUUCAUUUUACAUUUUCACUUUUUUA